GUUGGUUUGGUGGUUUCCCAGAGGGUUUUCUCGGCAUUUCUGACAGACGAUCACCAACCAACGCACGGGCAUAAUACCUAGUAAGUACUAAAUAACUCAAAUAAAUUACAUUUUUUAUUUUAUUUUAUUUUCCCUUAAUGAUUGUUAUCGCUUACGAUUGUCUACUGUCGGUGUAUAUUACUGUAUAUGCCACACAAGCAAAUAUAAAAUACAUUGGUCCAUUUGGGCCGGCCUACCGGGCCAUGGUGGAUCCGGACGGCACCAACCCGUUAUCCCUCCAUCGUUGAGAGGGGAAGGUGAUCGUUGCUCUGUGAAACCAACCUUACGCGGUGCCCUCUGCUCUAGGAACCGUGAAGCAUGAGCCUUUGCCCAAACCCCGUGGCCCAACUCCCAGCUUGAAAUGUUUAUGCUUUGUGCAAGGUAUAUAAAGCGGUAUGUACAACUACUGAUGGUCAAUGUGGGAGUUCUCCCAUGACUUGCUCUUCCCUAUAUGGAAGCUCAAAACUGCGGCCAUAUCUAAAUAAAUUUGUAGUCUUAUAUACUAAUUUUUAAUAUAAGGUUUAUAUUGCUGUGGAGAAACAUUAAAAUAAGAAAAAAAUCGAGAUUCAAAGCU
Molecule: long non-coding RNA, 613 nt
Organism: Pyrus x bretschneideri (Chinese white pear)
Lineage: Eukaryota; Viridiplantae; Streptophyta; Magnoliopsida; Rosales; Rosaceae
Exons: 2
Source: RefSeq, a predicted model, not a curated record